UGAAUCUCAGUGAGUGUUUCAGCUCCCAACAUCACAA
RNAcentral lists this non-coding RNA (37 nucleotides) under Geobacter sulfurreducens PCA. Lineage: Bacteria; Pseudomonadati; Thermodesulfobacteriota; Desulfuromonadia; Geobacterales; Geobacteraceae. The record is from RNAcentral.